GGAGAUGUAGCUAAGAGGUAUAGCACUUACCUAACAUGUACAAGGCCCUGGGUUUGAUCCCCAGAACUACCC
Molecule: transfer RNA, 72 nt
Filed under: Ictidomys tridecemlineatus (thirteen-lined ground squirrel)
Lineage: Eukaryota; Metazoa; Chordata; Mammalia; Rodentia; Sciuridae
Description: Spermophilus tridecemlineatus (thirteen-lined ground squirrel) tRNA
Rfam family: tRNA
About the family: Transfer RNA (tRNA) molecules are approximately 80 nucleotides in length. Their secondary structure includes four short double-helical elements and three loops (D, anti-codon, and T loops). Further hydrogen bonds mediate the characteristic L-shaped molecular structure. tRNAs have two regions of fundamental functional importance: the anti-codon, which is responsible for specific mRNA codon recognition, and the 3' end, to which the tRNAs corresponding amino acid is attached (by aminoacyl-tRNA synthetases). tRNAs cope with the degeneracy of the genetic code in two manners: having more than one tRNA (with a specific anti-codon) for a particular amino acid; and 'wobble' base-pairing, i.e. permitting non-standard base-pairing at the 3rd anti-codon position.
Source: Rfam by way of RNAcentral